UUGAACGCUGGCGGCAGGCCUAACACAUGCAAGUCGAGCGGAUGAAGGGAGCUUGCUCCUGGAUUCAGCGGCGGACGGGUGAGUAAUGCCUAGGAAUCUGCCUGGUAGUGGGGGAUAACGUCCGGAAACGGGCGCUAAUACCGCAUACGUCCUGAGGGAGCAAGUGGGGGAUCUUCGGACCUCACGCUAUCAGAUGAGCCUAGGUCGGAUUAGCUAGUUGGUGGGGUAAAGGCCUACCAAGGCGACGAUCCGUAACUGGUCUGAGAGGAUGAUCAGUCACACUGGAACUGAGACACGGUCCAGACUCCUACGGGAGGCAGCAGUGGGGAAUAUUGGACAAUGGGCGAAAGCCUGAUCCAGCCAUGCCGCGUGUGUGAAGAAGGUCUUCGGAUUGUAAAGCACUUUAAGUUGGGAGGAAGGGCAGUAAGUUAAUACCUUGCUGUUUUGACGUUACCAACAGAAUAAGCACCGGCUAACUUCGUG
RNAcentral lists this ribosomal RNA (483 nucleotides) under uncultured bacterium. RNAcentral describes it as "partial 16S ribosomal RNA". It matches the Rfam family "Bacterial small subunit ribosomal RNA", at positions 30 to 507 of the family's 1533-position model. The record is from RNAcentral.